AACGAACGCUGGCGGCAUGCCUAACACAUGCAAGUCGAACGAGACCUUCGGGUCUAGUGGCGCACGGGUGCGUAACGCGUGGGAACCUGCCCUUAGGUUCGGAAUAACUCCCCGAAAGGGGUGCUAAUACCGGAUAAUGUCUUCGGACCAAAGAUUUAUCGCCUUUGGAUGGGCCCGCGUUGGAUUAGCUAGUUGGUAGGGUAAAAGCCUACCAAGGCGACGAUCCAUAGCUGGUCUGAGAGGAUGAUCAGCCACACUGGGACUGAGACACGGCCCAGACUCCUACGGGAGGCAGCAGUGGGGAAUAUUGGACAAUGGGCGAAAGCCUGAUCCAGCAAUGCCGCGGGAGUGAUGAAGGCCUUAGGGUUGUAAAGCUCUUUUACCCGGGAUGAUAAUGGCAGUACCGGGAGAAUAAGCUCCGGCUAACUCCGU
RNAcentral lists this ribosomal RNA (432 nucleotides) under uncultured bacterium. Its description in RNAcentral is "partial 16S ribosomal RNA". It matches the Rfam family "Bacterial small subunit ribosomal RNA", at positions 29 to 506 of the family's 1533-position model. The record is from RNAcentral.